Molecule: ribosomal RNA, 497 nt
Filed under: uncultured bacterium
Lineage: Bacteria
Description: partial 16S ribosomal RNA
Rfam family: Bacterial small subunit ribosomal RNA
Source: RNAcentral
GAUGAACGCUGGCGGCGUGCCUAAUACAUGCAAGUCGAGCGAACGGACGAGAAGCUUGCUUCUCUGACGUUAGCGGCGGACGGGUGAGUAACACGUGGAUAACCUACCUAUAAGACUGGGAUAACUUCGGGAAACCGGAGCUAAUACCGGAUAAUAUAUUGAACCGCAUGGUUCAAUAGUGAAAGACGGUCUUGCUGUCACUUAUAGAUGGAUCCGCGCUGCAUUAGCUAGUUGGUAAGGUAACGGCUUACCAAGGCAACGAUGCGUAGCCGACCUGAGAAGGUGAUCGGCCACACUGGAACUGAGACACGGUCCAGACUCCUACGGGAGGCAGCAGUAGGGAAUCUUCCGCAAUGGGCGAAAGCCUGACGGAGCAACGCCGCGUGAGUGAUGAAGGUCUUCGGAUCGUAAAACUCUGUUAUUAGGGAAGAACAUAUGUGUAAGUAACUGUGCACAUCUUGACGGUACCUAAUCAGAAAGCCACGGCUAACUACGUG